AUGGAAGCGGGGGGAGCGACGGCCGGUGUCGGCGCCGAGAAGAAUUCGUGGCCGGAGGUGGUGGGCUUGUCGUCCGAGGAGGCCAAGAAGAAGAUCACAGAGCACAAGCCGGACGCCAGCGUCCACGUCGUUCCGGCCGACUCCUUCGUCACCAUGGAUUACAACACCGGCCGAGUCAGGGUGUUCGUCGACUCCAACGACAAGGUCACGAAAGCUCCCAGGAUUGGCUAG
This 231-nucleotide ribosomal RNA is filed under the name Triticum aestivum (bread wheat). RNAcentral describes it as "partial small subunit ribosomal RNA". The record is from RNAcentral. Lineage: Eukaryota; Viridiplantae; Streptophyta; Magnoliopsida; Poales; Poaceae.